This 140-nucleotide ribosomal RNA is filed under the name Heteroteuthis sp. 24_WH383. RNAcentral describes it as "partial small subunit ribosomal RNA". Lineage: Eukaryota; Metazoa; Mollusca; Cephalopoda; Sepiida; Sepiolidae. The record is from RNAcentral.
CGUGUCGUCGUGGCUGGCACUCGCUGUCGACCGCGGUGGCUGGCAGGGCUCAUAGGGCGGCGCGCUCCGCAUUUUGACUCUGGAUAACUUACUGGUCGAUCGCACGGUCUCCCAUGCUCGGCGACGGAUCUCUUGAGGGU